RNAcentral lists this ribosomal RNA (464 nucleotides) under uncultured bacterium. RNAcentral's name for it is "SSU rRNA". It matches the Rfam family "Bacterial small subunit ribosomal RNA", at positions 26 to 518 of the family's 1533-position model. The record is from RNAcentral.
AGGACGAACGCUGGCGGCGUGCUUAACACAUGCAAGUCGAGCGAACCUUCGGGUUAGCGGCGAACGGGUGAGUAACACGUGGGCAACCUGCCCCAAGCUCUGGGAUAACCUCCGGAAACGGGGACUAAUACCGGAUAUGACUCUUGAAGACAUCUUCUUGAGUGGAAAGUUUUUCGGCUUGGGAUGGGCCCGCGGCCUAUCAGCUUGUUGGUGGGGUAACGGCCUACCAAGGCGACGACGGGUAGCCGGCCUGAGAGGGCGACCGGCCACACUGGGACUGAGACACGGCCCAGACUCCUACGGGAGGCAGCAGUGGGGAAUAUUGCGCAAUGGGCGAAAGCCUGACGCAGCGACGCCGCGUGAGGGAUGAAGGCCUUCGGGUUGUAAACCUCUUUCAGCAGGGACGAAGCGAAAGUGACGGUACCUGCAGAAGAAGCACCGGCCAACUACGCGCCAGCAGCCGC